This 515-nucleotide ribosomal RNA is filed under the name uncultured bacterium. Its description in RNAcentral is "partial 16S ribosomal RNA". It matches the Rfam family "Bacterial small subunit ribosomal RNA", at positions 28 to 523 of the family's 1533-position model. The record is from RNAcentral.
GAUGAACGCUGGCGGCGUGCCUAAUACAUGCAAGUCGAGCGAAUGGAUUAAGAGCUUGCUCUUAUGAGGUUAGCGGCGGACGGGUGAGUAACACGUGGGUAACCUGCCCAUAAGACUGGGAUAACUCCGGGAAACCGGGGCUAAUACCGGAUAACAUUUUGAACCGCAUGGUUCGAAAUUGAAAGGCGGCUUCGGCUGUCACUUAUGGAUGGACCCGCGUCGCAUUAGCUAGUUGGUGAGGUAACGGCUCACCAAGGCAACGAUGCGUAGCCGACCGGAGAGGGAGAUCGGCCACACUGGGACUGAGACACGACCCAGACUCCUACGGGAGGCAGCAGUAGGGAAUCUUCCGCAAUGGACGAAAGUCUGACGGAGCAACGCCGCGUGAGUGAUGAAGGCUUUCGGGUCGUAAAACUCUGUUGUUAGGGAAGAACAAGUGCUAGUUGAAUAAGCUGGCACCUUGACGGUACCUAACCAGAAAGCCACGGCUAACUACGUGCCAGCCGCCGCAGUAA